This 320-nucleotide ribosomal RNA is filed under the name Chloropicon mariensis. RNAcentral's name for it is "partial Bacterial large subunit ribosomal RNA". It matches the Rfam family "Bacterial large subunit ribosomal RNA", at positions 1976 to 2295 of the family's 2925-position model. Lineage: Eukaryota; Viridiplantae; Chlorophyta; Chloropicophyceae; Chloropicales; Chloropicaceae. The record is from RNAcentral.
GUAAGUUCCGACCUGCACGAAUGGUGUAAUGAUGGCCAGGCUGUCUCCACCAGAGACUCAGUGAAAUUGAAAUCGCUGUGAAGAUGCAGUGUAUCCGCGGCUAGACGGAAAGUCCCCGUGAACCUUUACUAUAGCUUCACAGUGAACUUUGAGCAUGUUUGUGUAGGAUAGCUGGGAGGCUUUGAAGUGGGAACGCCAGUUCUCAUGGAGCCAACCUUGAAAUACCAGCCUGACAUGUUUGAGGUUCUAACUUGGUCCCCUUAUCGGGGAUGAGGACACUGUGUGGUGGGUAGUUUGACUGGGGCGGCCGCCUCCCAAAG